This 422-nucleotide ribosomal RNA is filed under the name uncultured bacterium. RNAcentral's name for it is "bacterial SSU rRNA". It matches the Rfam family "Bacterial small subunit ribosomal RNA", at positions 28 to 447 of the family's 1533-position model. The record is from RNAcentral.
GACGAACGCUGGCGGCGUGCUUAACACAUGCAAGUCGAGCGAUGAAAUUUCCUUCGGGAAAUGGAUUAGCGGCGGACGGGUGAGUAACACGUGGGUAACCUGCCUCAUAGAGGGGAAUAGCCUUUCGAAAGGAAGAUUAAUACCGCAUAAGAAGUAGAAGUCGCAUGGCUUUAGCUUUAAAGGAGCAAUCCGCUAUAAGAUGGACCCGCGGCGCAUUAGCUAGUUGGUGAGGUAACGGCUCACCAAGGCAACGAUGCGUAGCCGACCUGAGAGGGUGAUCGGCCACAUUGGAACUGAGACACGGUCCAGACUCCUACGGGAGGCAGCAGUGGGGAAUAUUGCACAAUGGGCGAAAGCCUGAUGCAGCAACGCCGCGUGGGUGAUGAAGUUUUCGGAGUCGUAAAGCCCUGUCUUUUGGGACG